Molecule: long non-coding RNA, 2336 nt
Organism: Ailuropoda melanoleuca (giant panda)
Lineage: Eukaryota; Metazoa; Chordata; Mammalia; Carnivora; Ursidae
Exons: 3
Source: RefSeq, a predicted model, not a curated record
CAGGAAAAUGCCUGAUUCACAGAAGGUACUUGUAUGAUUGAAUGAAGCAAUCCCAUCAUGAGAAUUCUGCUCAAGCAAGAAAAACGGCAUAGCUAGUGCCCUACAAGAAACUCCUGGGGCCAAGUUUUAAAAUUGUUUUGGGGAAGCCACACUGUUACAACCCAUUCCUUGUCCCUAUGAUGUGGAACAUAGGUAUUUGGCCAGUCACUGUGUGUUCUUCCUGGAACUCAUGGAGGCCAGCAGAAAGGACCCAUAUUUUCCUCGAAGAAGAUCUCUGAAACUCCUUGAGUCCUUAGGCAGGCACUUGGCUGAACCCCAGAAGUCUGUGCCACCUAGCACAGUGAAGGUGAUCUGGGACAACUCCGUGACAUAUCUGCUUCCUGAGGGCAGGAAUCUACAGCCUAUUCACAGUGCUAAUUACAUAUUGUUAUAAACAACGUAUUGCCAGGCAUGCAAUGCUCAACAUGUGGUUGUUGAACUAAAACAAAAUCAAAAGUAGAAGUUAGUACAGUAUAGGAAUUACCACAUUGAAUGUUCAAGUAACUCGAUUGUUUUAGUCACUAGGUUACCAAGAUUAACACUCACAGAUCCUACCCGCAAGGAAUUUACAAUACUUUUUGGGAGGCUAGCGUUAAUCACGACCAGAUGCUGGAGAAGAACAGAAGAAAGUAAUUGAUUUUGCCUCAGCAGAUUGGGGAAGUCUUUAUACUCUUAAAUGAGAUAACAUCUGAGUUGUAUCUUUGAGAAUGAGAAGAAAUCAAUCAGGCAGAGAAGAUGGAAAGGUAUUUCGUACUGUUUCAGGUAUUGUCACAUCACAAAACACCCCCAAACUCAGCUGGGAACAACGAUAAUGGUUGAUUUUGCUCAUGAAUCUGAAAUUUGAACAAGGCUUGACAGGGACAGCUUAUUUCGAUUCAAUGUGGCUUCAGCUGGGUGGCUCAGUGAUCUGUUGGCUAUGUGUUGGUUGGUAGAUCAAUCAGGGCUGCCAGCUGACGUCCUUUCAACACAACUGCUUGGGCUUUCUCACAGCAUGGCCGCUGCGCUUCAAAAGCCUGUGUUCCUAGAGACAGGAAGCGGAAGUCUUUUAAGUCCUGAGCCUAGAGACUGGCACGGAAGCACUUUUGUUGCCUGCCAAAGUUCAAGGAGAGGGGAAGUAGACUCCCAGAAAUUUUGUAUCCCUUCUUAAUCCACCACAUCUACAUAUAACCUAUUACCAUCUACGACAUACUAAAUGCACUAUUUGGUAACAUAGACAAACCAAUUAUGACAAAGGAAUAGAAGGUGAAAAUCUGGGGAAUGGGGGAUGAUGUUAGAACAGGGGCAUUGGAGCAGAUGGCAGAGAGGUUCUUGUACUGUACUUUUGAGUUUUACAAUCUUCUACCCCCAGAAUUGGCCUGAUCAUUUCUGUAUUUAGGAAGAUCAGUUGGGUAGUCGUAUGAAGGCCUAACUAGAAGUAAGUGGCAUUGCAAACAGCAUAACUGAGCAGAAACUCUUGUAAUAGUUUAUGAGAAAGUUGAUGAACUCAGACACAGUGGGAGGAGAGAACUAGAAAAAGAGCUGUAUAUCAGCGAAUUUUCAGUUACAGAUUUAGAAGAAACUGGUUCCUAAAUGGAUGUAUGAUUAAGAGAUAAUGAAUCAGGGUGGCCUUCAAGUUUCUAGCUUGAAAAGUGGGAGAAAAUAUAGAACACAAAAAGAGAAUCACAUUUGGGGAAAGAGAGAGAAGUUGGUGGGUUUAAUUUUUCAGGACAUGCUUGAUUUGAGGUACAUCUGGCCUUACUAGGCUGAGAAGUUUGAUAAGCAAGUGAUUGUAAAAAUAAAGAACUUAAAAGGUAGGUUAGGUGUGAAACAUCUAAAUUUGUAGGUAUAAAGCUUGAGGUGCUAGUUGAAACUAGAGGAAUACAUGAGAUUAAAAAAAAAAAACCCACUAUUUUUUGAAAAAAGAAGAAACCUGAAGGCAGAGUCUGGAGGACAGAAUCAAGUGAAAGUAUAAUAAGACCGAAAGAAAUGGAAAGUCAGUAGAGGUAGAGUAAAUGCCUUCUUGAUCCCACAAAUCAGAAUGAGCAAAUAUCCUCAGAUCUGUGUGACAAAACAAGUUGGGAAACAUUAUUUCCCAAACUGACUUUUAUGCUCCAUAUAUUUUGUCCAAGGAUACACAAAUGAGAAGGUAGGUGUAUAAACUGUCUUAUAUUUCCCAACAAUGUACAUUUGUAGCUGUUUUACAGAAGGUGGUGCUCACUGGUUGGAAACAUAGAAGCUUUCUUUUUCUUUUUAUUUCUUUCUCUUUUUUUGAGAGAGCAAGCGAGCAUGCAAGCAGGGGUGUGGAGGGACAAAAGGAG